UACGGAGGGUGCGAGCGUUGUCCGGAAUCACUGGGCGUAAAGGGCGCGUAGGCGGCGCGGAUAGUCGGCGGUGAAAGCCCGGAGCUCAACUCCGGGUCGGCCGUCGAUACUUCCGGGCUUGAGCACUGUAGAGGCAGAUGGAAUUCCGGGUGUAGCGGUGGAAUGCGUAGAGAUCCGGAAGAACACCGGUGGCGAAGGCGGUCUGCUGGGCAGUUGCUGACGUGAUGCGCGACAGCGUGGGGAGCAAACGAGG
This 253-nucleotide ribosomal RNA is filed under the name uncultured bacterium. RNAcentral's name for it is "partial 16S ribosomal RNA". It matches the Rfam family "Bacterial small subunit ribosomal RNA", at positions 524 to 777 of the family's 1533-position model. The record is from RNAcentral.